RNAcentral lists this ribosomal RNA (496 nucleotides) under uncultured bacterium. RNAcentral describes it as "partial 16S ribosomal RNA". It matches the Rfam family "Bacterial small subunit ribosomal RNA", at positions 28 to 507 of the family's 1533-position model. The record is from RNAcentral.
GAUGAACGCUGGCGGCGUGCCUAAUACAUGCAAGUCGAGCGAACAGACGAGGAGCUUACUCCUCUGACGUUAGCGGCGGACGGGUGAGUAACACGUGGAUAACCUACCUAUAAGACUGGGAUAACUUCGGGAAACCGGAGCUAAUACCGGAUAAUAUAUUGAACCGCAUGGUUCAAUAGUGAAAGACGGUUUUGCUGUCACUUAUAGAUGGAUCCGCGCCGCAUUAGCUAGUUGGUAAGGUAACGGCUUACCAAGGCAACGAUGCGUAGCCGACCUGAGAGGGUGAUCGGCCACACUGGACCUGAGACACGGUCCAGCCUCCUACGGGGGGCAGCAGUGGGGAAUCUUCCGCAAUGGGCGAAAGCCUGCCGGGGCAACGCCGCGUGAGUGAUGAAGGUCUUCGGUUCGUAAACCUCUGUUAUAGGGAAGAACAAAUGUGUAAGUAACUAUGCACGUCUUGACGGUACCUAAUCAGAAAGCCACGGCUAACUACGUG